This 3630-nucleotide long non-coding RNA is filed under the name Pan troglodytes (chimpanzee). RNAcentral describes it as "long non-coding RNA NONPTRT014993". Lineage: Eukaryota; Metazoa; Chordata; Mammalia; Primates; Hominidae. The record is from RNAcentral.
AAAGAUGACUAGUAUCUCCAGAGUGACAAGAAUUUUGAGGAAGAAUUCAACUACUAUCCAUUCAUUCUAUUUGUAGGCAGCUCAGGUCAUGACUUGCGCAUUAAUAAUGAAGUAAUUGAUAGAGUAUAUAAAUAUGUAAAUUUCAUUUACACAAACUUGGAUAAAAUUAGGCAGUAAAUUAUAAAUCCAAAAUCUAGAAGGUGUCUAUAAAGAUUAAGGUAAUUUUCCAUUUUCUUUAGAAUUGGCAGCACUAGCUAAAGCAAGAUCAAUAUUAAUUAAGAAACCUAGAGAGAAGAAUAAUAAAUUACUGAAAUGGGAUGGUUAACAGAACUUGUUAUGUAAUUCAGAAGUUAGAACUGUAGAAUUGGAAGUGGAAGCGACCUUAGAAACCAUCUGCUCCAAUCUUCAUAUUUUAAGGUGGGAAUAAGAAUAUUUAAUUUACAGAUGCUGAAAGGCCGUUUCAAGAUCAUUCCACUGGUUAGUAAAGACACAGAACAUGGGUUUACUGUCCCACAUAUUCCUCUGAGACAGGGAUUCUUUAUGGGGGCCCAUGAGCUUCAGGAAUCUCUGAAUACUGGGAAUUAUAGGCAUAAACUUACCUGUAUGUGAAUAUUUGAAUUUUUCUGAAGAAGACCUGUAGUAGCUUCUAUCAGAUCCUUAAAGCAGCCUUAACUCUCGGAAAGAUGAGAGCACCUGCUCUCGAAUUCAAAACCUUUUGCUCAUUAUAAUGGUUCCUACAACAUUCUAGAAUCAUUUAAAUGCUUCUAAAACUUGCAUCAGAUUUUAAAUGAGCAAACAGUAGCUCUGGCCUAAUUGGUUCCCAGAAGUUACCAUAUUCCUUGAGGGAAUCAGAUUUUACCUGGACAUACUAUCCUUUUUUUCCUAAGAACAGAGUAGUCUUCUGCUAUGGUCUCAAUGUGUCUCCCAAAAUUCAUAUGCUGAAACUUAAUAGCCAAUGUUAUAGUCUUAAGAGAUGACUUCUUCAGGAGGUGAGUAAGUCAUGAGAAGUGUGCCCUCAUGAAAGGGACUAGGGCCCUUUUAAACGGGCUUGAAAGAGUGGGUUUGCUUUCUUCCAUCCCUUGCACCAAGUGAGGACACAGCAAGAAGGCACCAUCUUGGAAGCAGAGAGCAGGCCCUCACUAGACACCAAAUGCCAGCACUUUCCUCUUGGACUUCCCAGCCUCCAGAACUGUGAGAAAUAAGUUUCUGUUCUUUGUCAGUUACCCAGUAUGUGGUAUUUUUGCAUCCAGAGUUGGUUCUUGCUGGUGGGUUUGGGGUCUUCUUUUUGAAGCCAAGCUUUAGGGCCUGUACUUGUAACAUCAUACUGUGCUUCUUUAUUCUUGAUAUAUUGUUUAUUUGCAGGUGGCAAUAGGCUUCAUCUGCACAGAGGUACACACGGGGGUAGCAAGCAGACCUGAAGGAAAGACAUCCAGAGAGAGUGGGAGGUAGUAUUUUAGCAGAUCCUUGGAGAGUUAGUGCCAAUUAGCUAAAAGCAAAGAAAUAAUAAGAGAUGAAUAUGGAAAGAUUGAUGUAACACACUGUUAAUAGACAUAAUAGCUGGUUUAUGUCAAAUGGCAGGCACAUGGAUAAAUACUUUACCUGCAUUUUAAAAUUUAGUCCUCACAAUGGCACUGCGGAGUAGAUAGAAUCAUUGUUCUCAUUUUCUGUUCAGAAAACUGAAGUGCUGUGAGGUUAAGUAAUUUGCCCAAGGUUACCCAGCAGGUAAGAUGUGAAGCCAGGCAGCUUGAAGCCACAGCUUCCUAAUGCUUCUUAUGAUUGUUAAUAAACUAACCCUGAUUUUCCACAACAGUAUGGGCACUGGGCAUAAUCUUGAACCUUUUUAAAGUUAUUAGGUGAAAAAGGUAUCCGUUGCUAUCUUAAUUUGCCGUUAUUACUAAUGAACUUUUUUUCUUAUUUGUGCAUGAAUUCUGCUUUUUUACUUUUGUCAAUUGUAGGUUUGCAAACAUUUUAAGUAACAAAUAAAACCUUUGGAAAGAUUAGCAUGGUUUUAUGCAAUGUCCCUAUUUCCUUUAAGAGAGUUUGUCACUUUAUUCCCUCUUCAUGGUUCAAUUCCAUGAGCAGAAGUGAAAACAUUCUACCAGAGAGAAUUGCAGUCUUAUAGUUUUGUAUGUCCACAGUGGUUUAAAUAUCUAUACAUUUAGCAUGAAGAGAGAUAGAGAGAGACAAAAUACGUGACUUAAUUACAAUUGCCACAAUGAAUUCCGAGUUGAUCCUGCUUCUCCCACUUCAGUUGACCACAAUUUUAAGCUUGGCAUCGCCUGAAAGCUUGAGGAAUGUAUUUGCAGUAAUUGCCAGGGCACUUCAUUGUUCCUCUGUAUACAUAAACACGAGGCUGUGAUCAGAGUGGUCAUGCUUGAGCUGUUAUCUGAAAUUCACUUUUGCUAUAAGGAUUGACUAAUCUGGUUCCUACUGACAGCGGUUUCCAUUUACUGUAUUAGCUUUCUCUCACUUCCCGCUUUUGCAUAGCUUGGCCUUUCUACCCCUCACCCCUGCCCUGUCAUUAUCUGCAGAUGUUAUCUGCCCAGCAGAUGUUGUAACCUACAGAGAUCUCAUCGUUCUCACCCUGCUGGGCUCAGCCUUCCCCACCCACUUCUGCACUGGGUCUCAGGUCCCUUUGAAAGGGAGCACUGAGGCAGGAGAGAUGGAUUGAAAUGCAAAACCUGGACUUUAUUUGAACAUGAGGUAUACACUGCAAUUUUUUGCAACCACUAUUUGAUGAUAGUUGUUUCAACACAGUUAAAAAAGUAAAUAUUUAUCUUAUGUGUCUUAAGAAUUGGAUUCCAUGCAAUAGACCACAAGGAAAUUUUUUUUCUACCUUGAGUACACCCAUGUUUCCUAAAAUGAGACAUUUUUAUGAAAGAUGGGGCCGAAAGAACAGUAGUUUUUCAAUCCCUCAGUAGUUACCACAAUCAAACCAUUAUUGCAGUUAAGAGAUUUUUUUAACGCAAGAUUUUUGUGGGAUAAUAAGUCUCAUAGGUGAGAAAAUGAGGUAACAUUAUACUGCACCUAUUUAGUAUAUGACAUGGAAAAAAUAUAAACGUGUUUAGUAUCUACUAUGAAUCAAGUGGUAUAAAGCAAAGACCCUAGCCAAUGGCAAACAAAAAGCAGUUAUUUUACCCCAAACCUAAAGGUAAAAGUUGAGAUGCGUAAUUUAUACAAGUGAAAGGUGGCACUAAAAACAUUUUUAAAAAGUAAAAUGAAGCUGGGUGGCUCUGAAAAACGAAAGAAAGAAAAUCAAUUUUUCAGUCUGGGAAAAAUAUGGAUAUACCUUUGAGAAGAAAAAUAUUUUAAUGUGAUAUCUUAGUGAGAAUACUAAAUUAUAAGCUUUAAUUUGCCUUACAGCUUUUAUUUCUCCAUCUAAGUAAUUUUGAUUGUUUUAUAUCUUUCUAAAUAUAGAUAAAAUAAACCAAGAAGAAAAGUAUGUAAGAAACAGAAAAUAUAUAUCAAGGCAUACUUCACAAAAUUCAAUGUAAAAUGACCUUUCCAUGCCUGAUUUACCAUUCUCUGUUUAAAGUAAUCUCUGUCUGGAGAAGGGAAGCCAUUGUUGAAUUCUUAGGAAAGACGAUGGCUCCAGAACUAAACAUCACCCACAGUGAUAAGAGGUUUCUG